GGCCCGGCGGCCGCGGGCUGUCAGGGUCCCCGGGGGGCCGCCCGCCCUCAGAUGAGCGGGAGGGGGCGCCUGGUGGGCCUGGCCUUCUGCACCUGCUACCUGGCGGCCCACCUCACCAACAAGUACGUCCUGUCGGUCUUGAAAUUUACCUGCCCUACAUUGUUCCAAGGGUGGCAGACGUUAGUUGGUGGACUUUUGCUUCAUGUGUCGUGGAAACUGGGCUGGGUGGAGAUCAACAGCAGUUCAAGCCUGCAGGAGGCUUUUUCCACGUCCAGCUCACCUGUGUCCUGCGGUGGGACCACUGCCACUAGAUCUGAUGUUUUGGCAUGGCUUCCUGCUUCGGUGCUGUUUGUGGGCAUAAUCUAUGCCGGUUCCAGAGCAUUAUCCAGACUGGCCAUUCCUGUGUUUCUCACUUUGCACAAUGCAGCUGAAGUUAUUGUCUGUGGGCACCGGAUGUGUUUUCGGAAAGAGAAAACGCCUCCUGCCAAGAUCUGUAGCGCCCUCCUGCUCCUGGCCGCUGCGGGGAGCCUCCCCUUCAAUGACGCCCAGUUCGAUCCAGAUGGGUACUUCUGGGCUGUAAUUCACUUACUCGGUGUAGGGGCCUAUAAGAUUCUCCAGAAGUCCCUGAAACCCAGUGCGUUGAGUGACAUCGACCAGCAGUACCUAAACUAUAUAUUCAGCGUGGCGCUCCUGGCAGCCGCAGCGCACCCCACAGGUGACCUCCUCCGCGCCCUGGACUUCCCCUUCUUGUAUGUCUACAGAUUCCACGGCAGCUGCUGCGCCAGUGGCCUUUUGGGGUUCCUCGUCACACUCAGCGCCGUGAAGCUGAAGAGCCUGGUGGCCCCCGGGCAGUGUGCAGCCUGGCUGCUCCUGGCUCAGAGGCGGCAGAGGAAGGCAGUGGGCCCAGACCAGGCACUGGAUGAAGACGGAAAAGGGUGACUUACGGGGCUGCCUGCAAGGAGUGGCUGUUGUUGAUGAACUUGAUGGAGUGAAAUAACCACCGAAACAGGUGCCCUUAUCAUCUUUAUGUUGAUUGGUCGGCCCCCCCCUACCCCCACCCCGCAGACAAAGACAGGGAUGUCUUUGAAAUGAGACUUCACAGCGGCCUCUUCACCUGUGUGGUCUCCUGAGGGAGAGCAUGGCUAAUUCUGACCCCACAGACGGGAAGCGUGGCUGAGAGUCGACUUCCCGCGACGGGGGAGCAUGUGGACACAGCCUUCCCACGUCAGCCAGAAAGCCAGAGCGAGGCAGACGGACCACAGGACGCGGCACUUGAAGAGGCUUUGUCCCUGAGAGCGACGGCUCUGGGUCGGGCAGCGCUGGUGGUGUGUUCUCGCCUGAGGUUGCUCCCCUGCCUUCUCCGCAGCUCUGUCCGUGUGAUAGUGGAACCAGAGCGGGCGGCUGCGAAAACCAGCAGCCUGGUUGGUGCUUCCAGACUAUUCCAUGCGCAGUAUUUUCAGUUAAAUGGCUGUGUCAGUGUAAAUGAGCAAGAAGAGCCAGUGGCCCCACUGUCCUGAGCUCACAGCCCUCUGUGGUACAAGCGGUGGACAGUGGUCUAUGGGAACAUGGGGAGCUCUGGGGGGUGAGAGGGCCAUCAGGGGCUGGACAGCUCUGCAUGUGCCCAGGCUGUCUGUGCACCAGACGCAGAGGUGUCGUGCGCCGGAGCCCCCACACUCUGCCCACAGAGCCCGAGCGCACUCACGGGAUGGGAGCGAGCCAGCAGCAAGGGAAGGCCGGGCGGCAUGAGCCCCCUGAGAUUCGAUGUGCUCCCUGUCCACUCACAGCCAGAAGCAGAAGUCUUUCCGGCUCCGGAUCAGACGUGCUGACAUUGAAGUCCCGCAUAGUUGUACACAGCAACCCAGCACUUCCCCGUGAUGUCGCUGGGACUGCGGGCGCCAGUGUGUAGCGUGACUCGGAAGGACGCUCCGUUGGCCCCAGAGGAGAAUUUGGAUUCUGUGAAAAACUCGUAGAUUCACAGGCAGAGGCCGUUCAGAAGGGCCUGGGACACCGUCCUCGUCCCAGAAGCUCCCUGCUCUGCCAUUUCCGAGGAGGUGUCAGUCCGCGUCGUCACGUCCAAGCCUGGAGAGGAGGCAUCCCUGCUUCUCUCUGUUCCUCGUCUUUCGCUGCCUCUUCCCUGGGUCUCAUGCUCAGCAAGGAGAAAAGUGCCUUCGAGGUCACUGUGUCGGCAUCACUGUUCUUCCUGGGGAUUUUGAGGGGCCUUCAAGGAAGCUAGAAAUAACAAUAUUUAGCAGCCUUUUUCAAUUCCUUCGUUUUGGUAAAGUGAGCUCUGUGAAAUCUAACGCAGCUGCAUAAAAUCUCGGGGUCCCUUCCCACUUGUGCUGAAAAGCAUUGCAGGAAAAAAGUGGCUGCGUUUAAGAGAAAAGUGAUGACGUGUAGACGCACAAGGAAGACG
Molecule: RNA transcript, 2413 nt
Organism: Myotis lucifugus (little brown bat)
Lineage: Eukaryota; Metazoa; Chordata; Mammalia; Chiroptera; Vespertilionidae
Gene: SLC35D4
Gene name: transmembrane protein 241
Exons: 17
Source: RefSeq, a predicted model, not a curated record